RNAcentral lists this transfer RNA (64 nucleotides) under Longpotamon kenliense. Its description in RNAcentral is "tRNA-Asp". The record is from RNAcentral. Lineage: Eukaryota; Metazoa; Arthropoda; Malacostraca; Decapoda; Potamidae. RNAcentral also lists the same sequence under 1 other name.
AGAAGUUAGUUAAAUCUUAUAACAUAAAUCUGUCAUAUUUAAAUCGUCCUUUCAGACACUUCUU